RNAcentral lists this ribosomal RNA (822 nucleotides) under uncultured dinoflagellate. Its description in RNAcentral is "SSU rRNA". It matches the Rfam family "Eukaryotic small subunit ribosomal RNA", at positions 486 to 1314 of the family's 1831-position model. The record is from RNAcentral. Lineage: Eukaryota; Dinophyceae.
CAGGGCAUCCAUGUCUUGUAAUUGGAAUGAAUAGAAUCCGAACCCCUUUAUGAGUAUCAAUUGGAGGGCAAGUCUGGUGCCAGCAGCCGCGGUAAUUCCAGCUCCAAUAGCGUAUAUUAAAGUUGUUGCGGUUAAAAAGCUCGUAGUCGGAUUUCUGCUGAGGUUGAUUGGUCCGCCCUCUGGGCAGGUAUCUGGCUCAACCUUGGCAUUUUCCCAGAGAGCGUGUCUGCACUUGACUGUGUGGUGCGGGGCUUGGGACUUUUACUUUGAGGAAAUUAGAGUGUUUCAAGCAAGCAGUUGCUUUGAAUACAUUAGCAUGGAAUAACAAGAUACAACCUCGGUCCUAUCUUGUUGGUUUCUAGAGCUGAGGUAACGAUUAAUAGGGGUAGUUGGGGGCAUUUGUAUUUAAUUGUCAGAGGUGAAAUUCUUGGAUUUGUUAAAGACUGACUACUGCGAAAGCAUUUGCCAAGGAUGUUUUCAUUGAUCAAGAACGAAAGUUAGGGGAUCGAAGACGAUCAGAUACCGUCCUAGUCUUAACCAUAAACAAUGCCGACUAGAGAUUGAAGGUUGUUAUCAUCAUGACCCCUUCAGCACCUUAUGAGAAAUCAAAGUCUUUGGGUUCCGGGGGGAGUAUGGUCGCAAGGCUGAAACUUAAAGGAAUUGACGGAAGGGCACCACCAGGAGUGGAGCCUGCGGCUUAAUUUGACUCAACACGGGGAAACUUACCAGGUCCAGACAUAGUGAGGAUUGACAGAUUGAUAGCUCUUUCUUGAUUCUGUGGGUGGUGGUGCAUGGCCGUUCUUAGUUGGUGGAGUGAUUUGU